RNAcentral lists this long non-coding RNA (597 nucleotides) under Sinocyclocheilus anshuiensis. RNAcentral's name for it is "lncRNA (ENSSANG00000003315.1)". Lineage: Eukaryota; Metazoa; Chordata; Actinopteri; Cypriniformes; Cyprinidae. The record is from RNAcentral.
UCAAUUAUGUCUAACGCUUGGCUGUAUGUUCUAUUUCAAGGACUUUAAUCAAAGCAGUACUAAACAACCAAUCCUUAAAGGAAACACAGCUGUUGCCCUGUGCGCCCAAGCCAUACUCAUUUUCACAUAGUCACGUCUUGGUGCUUGAGACAGUUGCAAGUUUUCUGAUACUGGGAGAGGCUGCUGAAGUGAACUCUGCCAUAUUAAUGUGCCGACUAUACGGAUUUAUGCCUGAGCUGAUGUAAUGGAGGGAUUCAGACAGGCGAGUACUGAUCUGUACCUUGUUGGGCCUGUCGCUGCUGGUCUGAGUGCUCUUUGCGGAGUCGCUGAUGGCAAAUAAGCCACAUUGGUGCAUGAUGAAGAAUCGUGAUGCUGGAAGGUGGUAGGGCUUCCCACCGGGCAGCGAGUGUUGAGGCUGGCUGGAGGUGGACAGCAUUGUGUCUGGCAGUAAUGAGAGUUCAUUGCAUGUUUGCUGCUGGCCAAAGCAUUCUUUCUCCACAACAAACAGCCUACUUCCAUCUUUACAGCUGCGAGAACAAGUGAGCUUCUGGGCUUUUGUCAAAUAUGUAUGUGCCUAGUGUGACUGAAACAACCCAC